This 774-nucleotide ribosomal RNA is filed under the name Salmonella enterica. Its description in RNAcentral is "partial 23S ribosomal RNA". It matches the Rfam family "Bacterial large subunit ribosomal RNA", at positions 2029 to 2802 of the family's 2925-position model. Lineage: Bacteria; Pseudomonadati; Pseudomonadota; Gammaproteobacteria; Enterobacterales; Enterobacteriaceae. The record is from RNAcentral.
AGACUCAGUGAAAUUGAACUCGCUGUGAAGAUGCAGUGUACCCGCGGCAAGACGGAAAGACCCCGUGAACCUUUACUAUAGCUUGACACUGAACAUUGAGCCUUGAUGUGUAGGAUAGGUGGGAGGCUUUGAAGUGUGGACGCCAGUCUGCAUGGAGCCGACCUUGAAAUACCACCCUUUAAUGUUUGAUGUUCUAACGUGGACCCGUAAUCCGGGUUGCGGACAGUGUCUGGUGGGUAGUUUGACUGGGGCGGUCUCCUCCUAAAGAGUAACGGAGGAGCACGAAGGUUGGCUAAUCCUGGUCGGACAUCAGGAGGUUAGUGCAAUGGCAUAAGCCAGCUUGACUGCGAGCGUGACGGCGCGAGCAGGUGCGAAAGCAGGUCAUAGUGAUCCGGUGGUUCUGAAUGGAAGGGCCAUCGCUCAACGGAUAAAAGGUACUCCGGGGAUAACAGGCUGAUACCGCCCAAGAGUUCAUAUCGACGGCGGUGUUUGGCACCUCGAUGUCGGCUCAUCACAUCCUGGGGCUGAAGUAGGUCCCAAGGGUAUGGCUGUUCGCCAUUUAAAGUGGUACGCGAGCUGGGUUUAGAACGUCGUGAGACAGUUCGGUCCCUAUCUGCCGUGGGCGCUGGAGAACUGAGGGGGGCUGCUCCUAGUACGAGAGGACCGGAGUGGACGCAUCACUGGUGUUCGGGUUGUCAUGCCAAUGGCACUGCCCGGUAGCUAAAUGCGGAAGAGAUAAGUGCUGAAAGCAUCUAAGCACGAAACUUGCCCCGA